RNAcentral lists this ribosomal RNA (160 nucleotides) under uncultured bacterium. Its description in RNAcentral is "partial 16S rRNA". It matches the Rfam family "Bacterial small subunit ribosomal RNA", at positions 355 to 506 of the family's 1533-position model. The record is from RNAcentral.
UUAGGAAUAUUCGUCAAUGGGGGAAACCCUGAACGAGCAAUGCCGCGUGAGUGAUGAAGGUCUUAUUGAUCGUAAAACUCUGUUGUAAGAGACGAAACCACAGUAUAGGAAAUGAUACUGUGCUGACGGUAUCUUACCAGAAAGCCCCGGCUAACUACGU